GAUGAACGCUGGCGGCGUGCCUAACACAUGCAAGUCGAACGAAGCACCUUACCUGAUUCUUCGGUUGCAAGUUUGGCGACUGAGUGGCGGACGGGUGAGUAACGCGUGGGUAACAUGCCCUGUACAGGGGGAUAACAGCUGUAAACGGCUGCUAAUACCGCAUAAGCGCACGUGGAGACAUCUCCUUGUUUGAAAAACUCCGUUGGGACAGGAGGGGCCCGCGUCGGCUUAGAUGGUGGGCAGGGGAACGGCCUACCAAGGCAACGAUCAGUAGCCGGUAUGUGAGAAUGAGCCGAGACAUUGGAGCUGGGAAGCAGUCGGGAAUCCUACGGGAGGGGGGAGAGGGGGAUAGUGCAAAAUGGGGGGAAUGCUGAAGCAGUUACGACGGGAGAGUGAAGAAGUAAGUGGGUAAGUAAAGCGCUAUUAGCAGUGAAGAUAAUGACGGUACCUGACGAAGAAGCUCCGGCUAAAUACGUG
This 477-nucleotide ribosomal RNA is filed under the name uncultured bacterium. Its description in RNAcentral is "partial 16S ribosomal RNA". It matches the Rfam family "Bacterial small subunit ribosomal RNA", at positions 28 to 507 of the family's 1533-position model. The record is from RNAcentral.